AGUGAACGCUGGCGGUAGGCCUAACACAUGCAAGUCGAACGGCAGCACAGUAAGAGCUUGCUCUUACGGGUGGCGAGUGGCGGACGGGUGAGGAAUACAUCGGAAUCUACUUUUUCGUGGGGGAUAACGUAGGGAAACUUACGCUAAUACCGCAUACGACCUACGGGUGAAAGCAGGGGAUCUUCGGACCUUGCGCGAUUGAAUGAGCCGAUGUCGGAUUAGCUAGUUGGCGGGGUAAAGGCCCACCAAGGCGACGAUCCGUAGCUGGUCUGAGAGGAUGAUCAGCCAAACUGGAACUGAGACACGGUCCAGACUCCUACGGGAGGCAGCAGUGGGGAAUAUUGGACAAUGGGCGCAAGCCUGAUCCAGCCAUACCGCGUGGGUGAAGAAGGCCUUCGGGUUGUAAAGCCCUUUUGUUGGGAAAGAAAAGCAGCAGGUUAAUACCACGCUGUUCUGACGGUACCCAAAGAAUAAGCACCGGCUAACUUCGUG
Molecule: ribosomal RNA, 492 nt
Filed under: uncultured bacterium
Lineage: Bacteria
Description: partial 16S ribosomal RNA
Rfam family: Bacterial small subunit ribosomal RNA
Source: RNAcentral